GCCAGACUCCUACGGGAGGCAGCAGUGGGGAAUAUUGCACAAUGGGGGAAACCCUGAUGCAGCGACGCCGCGUGAGCGAUGAAGUAUUUCGGUAUGUAAAGCUCUAUCAGCAGGGAAGAAAAUGACGGUACCUGACUAAGAAGCCCCGGCUAACUACGUGCCAGCAGCCGCGGUAAUACGUAGGGGGCAAGCGUUAUCCGGAUUUACUGGGUGUAAAGGGAGCGUAGACGGCGGUGCAAGCCAGAUGUGAAAGCCCGGGGCUCAACCCCGGGACUGCCCUUGGAACUGCUUGGCUGGAGUGCGGGAGGGGCAGGCGGAAUUCCUGGUGUAGCGGUGAAAUGCGUAGAUAUCAGGAGGAACACCGGUGGCGAAGGCGGCCUGCUGGACUGCAACUGACGUUGAGGCCCGAAAGCGUGGGGAGCAAACAGGAUUAGAUACCCGAGUA
This 445-nucleotide ribosomal RNA is filed under the name uncultured bacterium. RNAcentral's name for it is "partial 16S ribosomal RNA". It matches the Rfam family "Bacterial small subunit ribosomal RNA", at positions 330 to 792 of the family's 1533-position model. The record is from RNAcentral.